RNAcentral lists this transfer RNA (87 nucleotides) under Acidobacteria bacterium RIFCSPLOWO2_12_FULL_54_10. RNAcentral's name for it is "tRNA-Leu". It matches the Rfam family "tRNA". Rfam says of the family: Transfer RNA (tRNA) molecules are approximately 80 nucleotides in length. Lineage: Bacteria; Pseudomonadati; Acidobacteriota. RNAcentral also lists the same sequence under 1 other name. The record is from RNAcentral.
GCGGAUGUGGCGGAACUGGCAGACGCGCUAGAUUCAGGUUCUAGUGCCCGCAAGGGCGUGGAGGUUCGAGUCCUCUCAUCCGCACCA